Naegleria gruberi is the source of this 1683-nucleotide ribosomal RNA. It matches the Rfam family "Eukaryotic large subunit ribosomal RNA", at positions 1 to 1930 of the family's 3401-position model. NCBI's taxonomy places the organism in Eukaryota, Heterolobosea, Eutetramitea, Acrasida, Naegleriidae. The record is from Rfam.
NNNNNNNNNNNNNNNNNNNNNNNNNNNNUUGAAAAGUACUCUGGUAAGAGGGUGAAAAGAGUGUGAAAUUGCAUAGAUUUAAGCGUAACCAAGUAUCGACACCUGUAGUGUACUCUUUGGUGCAUUAAAGGUAUCCAACAACUCUGUUCUUGCUUUGCGAGGAUUGGGCUACACAUGCUAAGAAUGCCGUUGUAGAUGCGCUCUAUUAACGAAAAUCUUUUUGCUAUGCCAUUGCUUCACGGCUUUGGUGUGGUACCGGGGUCGUAGUUGAUAGGGUGUGUCGCAAACUAUCGGUCAUUAGUAUAUUGUUGGUAUGGUAUUUGGGAACGUCCCGUCUUGAAACACGGACCAAGGAGUCUAGCAUAUCUGCAAGCCGUAGCAAUUUUAAUUGUGAAGGCGUAAUGAAAGUGUAUUGUGUUAACAGCACAAACCGGGCCUUUCGGUCUGAGUUAGAGUAAAUAUGCUAGUACCCGAAAGGUGAUGAACUAUGCCCGGACUGGUUGAAGCCAGGAGAAAUCCUGGUGGAGGACCUCCCGCGGUGCUGACGUGCAAAUCGCUCGUCCGAGCUGGGUAUAGGAGCGAAAGACUCAUCGAAUCGCCUAGUAGCUGGUUCCUGCCGAAAUUUCCCUCAGGAUAGCGGAGAUUCAUAAUUAAUUUUGCCAGGUAAAGCUAAUGAUUAGAGAUCUUGGAGGUGGAUAACCUUCAAUCUAUUCUCAAACUUUAAAUGGGCAAUAUCCGGGGCUUACUUAAUGGAAGUACCGGUUUAAUAAGAAUCUCUAGUGGNCCGUGGUUUGGUAAGCAGAUCAGGUAAAGCGGGUUCAACCGUAAACAAUAAGGAAAGGCGUCCAAUACCGGUUUAAUACUCAUUAAAGGGUGUUAAUUCAUGAAGACAGCGGGACGGUGGCCAUGGAAGUCGGUAUCCGCUAAGGAGUGUGUAACAACUCACCCGCCGAAUGAAUUAGCCCCGAAAAUGGAUGACGGCUAAGCCGGUAGCCGAUCCUUAGUCCCUCUUCUAGAUUUCUUGAAGAGGGGGUAGGCAGGCGUGAUGGUUGCAACGAAGCUCUUGGGUGACUGGGAGUGGAGCGGCCAUCAGUGCAGAUCUUGGUAGUAGUAGCAACCAUUCUUACGAGUUUCAACUUCUCCAUGAGCAAUCAUGGAUUCAGAAGCUUUGAAGGUCGUUGUGGACCAGGUUUCCUUACCUCUGGCGCUCAUGUAAGGGUUAGUCGGUCCUAACUCGGUGGUUAACACUAGAAAUAGUCCUAAAGCAGGAAUUACCGAGGAAAGGGAAUCAGGUUAAUAUUCCUGAACCCGAGUCAUGGAGGAUGCCUUCGGGUGUCAAGUCUGACGCGGCGACGCGGAGUGUGGAUUAGAGCCAUGUGCGUGGAGCUCCGGUAGAGUUAUCUCUUCUCCUUAAUAGCCAACACUUGAUCAUGAAGCCUCGGUGGAAUGGCGAGUGGCGAGUAACAGAGGAGUUGCGUGCAGCAGAGAUUCUGUUAUUUGCGGGUUAGAAGGGCAAGUCUUUAUGGCUUGUGAGGGUCUUCGCGUGCAUAAGUUAAAAUCUAAUUCAGCUCUGGACUCAAUCCUAUGACUCGGUCCGUACCGUAGUCCGCAUCAGGUGUCCGAGGCUAGCAGCCUCUGACCUAUUAGAGCAAUGUAGUAAGGGAAGUCGGCAAAAUAGACUUG